CUUGCUUUCUUUGCUGGCGACCGGCGCACGGGUGAGUAACACGUAUCCAACCUGCCCUUUACUCGGGGAUAGCCUUUCGAAAGAAAGGUUAAUACCCGAUAGCAUAAUGAUUCCGCAUGGUUUCAUUAUUAAAGGAUUCCGGUAAAGGAUGGGGAUGCGUUCCAUUAGGUUGUUGGUGGGGUAACGGCCCACCAAGCCUUCGAUGGAUAGGGGUUCUGAGAGGAAGGUCCCCCACAUUGGAACUGAGACACGGUCCAA
RNAcentral lists this ribosomal RNA (258 nucleotides) under uncultured bacterium. RNAcentral's name for it is "partial 16S ribosomal RNA". It matches the Rfam family "Bacterial small subunit ribosomal RNA", at positions 75 to 334 of the family's 1533-position model. The record is from RNAcentral.